This is a long non-coding RNA of Oncorhynchus keta (chum salmon), 2060 nucleotides long. RefSeq lists it as uncharacterized. The transcript has 3 exons. Lineage: Eukaryota; Metazoa; Chordata; Actinopteri; Salmoniformes; Salmonidae. The record is from RefSeq and is a predicted model, not a curated record.
UAAAAUACACAAGAAUAGAGACAGAUUACAAUCUAAUCUGGAAAAAUGUGAACUAGGAUUGUGUAAAUCCUGAAACGAAACGUAGGCUGAAAAUAAUUAGCAUGUCAUAUCAUAGGAAAAGACACUGCAUUCACACAGAUUUGUCCGAAGUGCACAGUUCGGGUUUGACAUCUUAAGCCCAAAUAUAUCAUACUUGAACAAUAACAAAGAUUUAUUGAUUUAAAUGGUUAUGCAACAUCAUGAGUAAGCUCUGGCCAUCGACUUUCAGUUUUAAAAUGUGUAUUUCUACUGGUGUGGUGUUUAAGCAGCCGUAGAUGAGAGACAGGUGCUUUCACAACAAGUAGUUCUGUUGUUGUUCAAACAAUCUUUUAUCUGAUAAAGGAUCAGCAUCCUAUCAAGAUACUAUAGAAUAUACAUGUAAGUGUACAUAGAAGGGGUAGGAGCUGGGAGGAGGGAGGAGGAGUGUGGAGGAGGAAGGAGGAGUGUGGAGGAGGGAGGAGGAGUGUGGAGGAGGAAGGAGGAGAGAGGAGGAGUGUGGAGGAGGGAGGAGGAGUGUGGAGGAGAGAGGAGUGUGGAGGAGGGAGGAGGAGUGUGGAGGAGAGAGGAGUGUGGAGGAGGGAUGAGGAGUGUGGAGGAGAGAGGAGUGUGGAGGAGGAGUGUGGAGGAGAAAGGAGGAGUGUGGAGGAAGGAGGAGGAGUGUGGAGGAGGGAGGAGUGUGGAGGAGGGGGAGGAGUGUGGAGGAGAGAGGAGUGUGGAGGAGGGAGGAGGAGUGUGGAGGAGAAAGGAGGAGUGUGGAGGAGGAGGGAGGAGUGUGGAGGAGGAGGAGUGUGGAGGAGGGAGGAGGAGUGAGGAGGUUGUGAUAAUGAUGGUGAUAUGGAGUCAAGCAGAGAGAACAGUCCAUCUGUUCCUCUAGCUACAGUAUGUACUGACAGAGAGGUGUCCAUCUGUUCCUCUAGCUACAGUAUGUACUGACAGAGAAGUGUCCAUCUGUUUCUCUGGCUACAGUAUGUACUGACAGAGAAGUGUCCAUCUGUUCCUCUAGCUACAGUAUGUACUGACAGAGAAGUGUCCAUCUGUUCCCCUAGCUACAGUAUGUACUGACAGAGAAGUGUCCAUCUGUUUCUCUGGCUACAGUAUGUACUGACAGAGAAGUGUCCAUCUGUUCCUCUAGCUACAGUAUGUACUGACAGAGAAGUGUCCAUCUGUUUCUCUGGCUACAGUAUGUCCUGACAGAGAAGUGUCCAUCUGUUCCUCUAGCUACAGUAUGUACUGACAGAGAAGUGUCCAUCUGUUUCUCUGGCUACAGUAUGUACUGACAGAGAAGUGUCCAUCUGUUCCUCUAGCUACAGUAUGUACUGACAGAGAAGUGUCCAUCUGUUCCUCUAGCUACAGUAUGUACUGACAGAGAGGUGUCCAUCUGUUCCCCUAGCUACAGUAUGUACUGGCAGAGAAGUGUCCAUCUGUUCCUCUAGCUACAGUAUGUACUGACAGAGAAGUGUCCAUCUGUUCCUCUAGCUACAGUAUGUACUGGCAGAGAAGUGUCCAUCUGUUUAUCUGGCUACAGUAUGUACUGGCAGAGAAGUGUCCAUCUGUUUCUCUGGCUACAGUAUGUACUGACAGAGAGGUGUCCAUCUGUUCCCCUAGCUACAGUAUGUACUGGCAGAGAAGUGUCCAUCUGUUUCUCUGGCUACAGUAUGUACUGGCAGAGAAGUGUCCAUCUGUUCCCCUAGCUACAGUAUGUACUGGCAGAGAAGUGUCCAUCUGUUUCUCUGGCUACAGUAUGUACUGGCAGAGAAGUGUCCAUCUGUUCCUCUAGCUACAGUAUGUACUGACAGAGAAGUGUCCAUCUGUUCCUCUAGCUACAGUAUGUACUGACAGAGAAGUGUCCAUCUGUUCCUCUAGCUACAGUAUGUACUGACAGAGAAGUGUCCAUCUGUUUCUCUGGCUACAGUAUGUACUGACAGAGAGGUGUCCAUCUGUUCCUCUAGCUAACAGUAUGUACUGGCAGAGAAGUGUCCAUCUGUUCCUCUAGCUACAGUAUGUACUGGCAGAGAGGUGUC